Molecule: long non-coding RNA, 1484 nt
Filed under: Sus scrofa (pig)
Lineage: Eukaryota; Metazoa; Chordata; Mammalia; Artiodactyla; Suidae
Description: lncRNA (ENSSSCG00035016250.1, ENSSSCG00065044116.1)
Source: RNAcentral
AGCAGUGCUGUAGCCAGCAGGGGUGGACACUGGGGACCGUGAGAGAAAGUCUCCUGGAGGUUGUAUUUUCAGGGCUGAUCGUCUUCAAGGAUGAGUAAAUUAACCAGCAGAAAUCAUCACGACCUCGUAAAUCAAUGAGGCUUCCAUAAAACGACAACGAAUAAAGUAAACAAAAGCAAAAGAAAAGAAAAGAAAUCUGAGAAAGUGGAAAAAGAAAAGAAAAAUGCCAUCUCCCGAAGCAAUGCUGUCCUGUGAAACCCCUCGAAUGCAAAGAAGGAGUGGUUCAUGUAAAGGACUGAGAAUGACGCCAAGAAGCCACAGGCUGAGAGAAAACUCUGGCUAUUUAGACUGGUGUUGUGUGUGGUCUGAUUCUUUGUCCUAUGAUAUUUGAUGGUGGUCAGAUGAAGAAAACCAAACGUCGCUCAAAAAGGGACUUUGCGGGGUCCUUACCUUCUGGGCGCAUCUAGGACAUUUUUUUUUUUUCUUUGCACCCCUUAUCCAUCAGUGGUGAAAGACAUCCAGCCUGGCAGAGGAAUCACUGGGUGGAAUCUCCCAGUGAGCUGCCUGCUCCGAUCAGUGGGAUACUAGAGAGGGAAAGAGACGGAAUUGUUGCCAGAAGGAGGAUGAUUGGAGCUGAGAUCAUGCUGUUUUCUUCUCUUCAAGACGUCUCUUAAAGUCUUCUGUUUGGCUUCUUAGCAACCGAGAAACCGUCUCUCCCCAUAGCUGGGCAAUUUAUUCUUCAGGUUGCACAAGAAACGAGGGACUUCAGUCUCCUCCAGUUUUCAAAUCCAUCAAAAAUUAUUGUACCAGAAAGAACAGAAAACUAUGCCAAGUUUACUUUUAACCUGAGAACUCCAGCACCAGGAGAAACUAUUUACACAGAUGCUUAAAUUUUUCUUAACUCCCUUUCUACAGCUCUGCAGACCCCAAGAUUCUUUCAGCACCAUAGUUUCAUCCCUGGUAAGAGAUGGAGAAGCAGCCUUUGGCUGUGCUGAGCAAGCUCUGUGCAGGUUUGUGGGUUAUAGCACCUGCCCUCCAUCGCUCCCACUCUGAGUGCAGCCCCCAAAUAGACAGAACGAACUUUGGGUGCACAUUGUUUUAAACUACGGAGGCUACCAGCCUCACUGGGUUACUUCCAUCAAAGGAUAAGAGAGAAGAAAAUAUGAUGGGCUAAGAUCCGCAGGUCUAACAAAAACAAAGUGGCUGCUUGACCCACUUUCCGAGUUAGAUACCAAUUUGAAUAUUGUUAUCCAUGGUGACAAAUUCCAGUAAAAAGCUUUAAGAGGUUAAAUACUGUAAUUCUAUGAGAGCUACGUGAAGACUUUCUCAAAUCUGGACAUCCAAAAUAGGCUUUGACAAAUAACCUCAUCAAGUCAUUAUACCCAGCACAGGAUUUCUGUAGUUGUUCAAUGCAGAAAAGGAUUGUAUUCUUAUAAUUGUUUUUUCUGACUUCAGCUUUUCAAAUAAAGUCUCCUGGAAUGGCU